GACGAACGCUGGCGGCGUGCUUAACACAUGCAAGUCGAACGGAAAGGCCCUGCUUUUGUGGGGUGCUCGAGUGGCUAACGGGUGAGUAACACGUGAGUAACCUGCCCUUUACUUUGGGAUAACUUCAGGAAACUGGGGCUAAUACCGGAUCGUAGCUCCUGCUGCAUGGUGGGGGUUGGAAAGUUUCGGCGGUUGGGGAUGGACUCGCGGCUUAUCAGCUUGUUGGUGGGGUAGUGGCUUACCAAGGCUUUGACGGGUAGCCGGCCUGAGAGGGUGACCGGCCACAUGGGGACUGAGAUACGGCCCAGACUCCUACGGGAGGCAGCAGUGGGGAAUAUUGCACAAUGGGCGGAAGCCUGAUGCAGCAACGCCGCGUGCGGGAUGACGGCCUUCGGGUUGUAAACCGCUUUCGCCUGUGACGAAGCGUGAGUGACGGUAAUGGGUAAAGAAGCACCGGCUAACUACGUG
RNAcentral lists this ribosomal RNA (468 nucleotides) under uncultured bacterium. RNAcentral's name for it is "partial 16S ribosomal RNA". It matches the Rfam family "Bacterial small subunit ribosomal RNA", at positions 28 to 507 of the family's 1533-position model. The record is from RNAcentral.